This 396-nucleotide ribosomal RNA is filed under the name uncultured bacterium. RNAcentral's name for it is "partial 16S ribosomal RNA". It matches the Rfam family "Bacterial small subunit ribosomal RNA", at positions 523 to 918 of the family's 1533-position model. The record is from RNAcentral.
AUACGUAGGUGACAAGCGUUAUCCGGAUUUACUGGGCGUAAAGGGCGUGUAGGCGGUCUUGCAAGUCAGAAGUGAAAUUCCUGAGCUCAACUCGGGCGCUGCUUCUGAAACUGCAGGACUUGAGUGCUGGAGGGGAUAGCGGAAUUCCUAGUGGAGCGGUAAAAUGCGCAGAUAUUAGGAAGAACACCGGUGGCGAAGGCGGCGAUCUGGACAGUAACUGACGCUGAGGCGCGAAAGCGUGGGGAGCAAACAGGAUUAGAUACCCUGGUAGUCCACGCUGUAAACGAUGAUUACUAGGUGUGGGGGGACUGACCCCUUCCGUGCCGCAGUUAACACAAUAAGUAAUCCACCUGGGGAGUACGGCCGCAAGGUUGAAACUCAAAUGAAUUGACGGGG